RNAcentral lists this ribosomal RNA (757 nucleotides) under uncultured archaeon. RNAcentral describes it as "bacterial SSU rRNA". It matches the Rfam family "Archaeal small subunit ribosomal RNA", at positions 102 to 859 of the family's 1478-position model. The record is from RNAcentral.
GGAUAACUACCCUUUAGGACUGGGAUAACCCUGGGAAACUGGGGCUAAUACCGGAUAGGCAAUUUUUCCUGUAAUGGUUCUUUGUUUAAAUGUUUUUUCGCCUAAGGAUGGGUCUGCGGCCGAUUAGGUAGUUGGUUAGGUAAUGGCUUACCAAGCCGUUGAUCGGUACGGGUUGUGAGAGCAAGAGCCCGGAGAUGGAACCUGAGACAAGGUUCCAGGCCCUACGGGGCGCAGCAGGCGCGAAACCUCCACAAUGUGAGAAAUCGCGAUGGGGGGAUCCCAAGUGCCAUUCUUAACGGGAUGGCUUUUCAUUAGUGUAAAAAGCUUUUGGAAUAAGAGCUGGGCAAGACCGGUGCCAGCCGCCGCGGUAACACCGGCAGCUCUAGUGGUAGCAACUUUUAUUGGGCCUAAAGCGUCCGUAGCCGGUUUAAUAAGUCUCUGGUGAAAUCCUGUAGCUUAACUGUGGGAAUUGCUGGAGAUACUAUUAGACUUGAGACCGGGAGAGGUUAGAGGUACUCCCAGGGUAGAGGUGAAAUUCUGUAAUCCUGGGAGGACCGCCUGUUGCGAAGGCGUCUAACUGGAACGGUUCUGACGGUGAGGGACGAAAGUUAGGGGCGCGAACCGGAUUAGAUACCCGGGUAGUCCUAACUGUAAACGAUGCGGACUUGGUGUUGGGGUGGCUUUGAGCUGUUCCAGUGCCGAAGGGAAGCUGUUAAGUCCGCCGCCUGGGAAGUACGGUCGCAAGACUGAAACUUAA